CGUUUAGGGGUAAACCUGAGAAACCCGAAAGGUCGAAGGGAGAAAUUCAUUCGCGUUUCGUGGCAGGCAUUAAAUGGAUUGUGUGACGAGGAAGUUUUAAUUUCCUUGCAUCAUCUGUUUAUUUGAACCGGCUACGAACGUGUGCACUUUUCUCCUGGUAGGACGUCGCGAUCCGUCGAGUGUCGGUCUACGACUUAUGGUGGAGACCAUUUGUUAUAUUUCUAUAUAAUAAAUGGACCUAUUUGUUCUGGCCGACUUGCUCAACGGUAUAUACGAACGGUUUGGGGCCGCUCUUUGAGCGUUCGGCUCGUUGCAAGCGCGCUAGAUGUUUGUCGACAAUCGGACUUAGUGCCGGUUUCGGCCUCUAGUGACUGUUGGCAACGAUGUUCUCGAACAGACCUCGAUUUUGUCUUGUACAAAAUUUUAAAAACUGAUCGGCGACGCUAUAGCUUUGGGUACUUUCAGGACCCGUCUUGAAACACGGACCAAGGAGUCUAGCAUGUACGCGAGUCAUUGGGUUAUUACGAAACCUAAAGGCGUAAUGAAAGUAAAAAUCUUUCUUGUAAAGAUUUAGGGAAGACGGGUGGGUGACUUGUCACUUGCUCUGCAUUCCCGGGGCGUCUCAUUCUCAUUGCGAGAAGAGGCGCACCAAGAGCGUACACGCUGGGACCCGAAAGAUGGUGAACUAUGCCUGGUCAGGACGAAGUCAGGGGAAACCCUGAUGGAGGUCCGUAGCGAUUCUGACGUGCAAAUCGAUCGUCGGAACUGGGUAUAGGGGCGAAAGACUAAUCGAACCAUC
This 799-nucleotide ribosomal RNA is filed under the name Ctonoxylon sp. RNAcentral's name for it is "partial large subunit ribosomal RNA". It matches the Rfam family "Eukaryotic large subunit ribosomal RNA", at positions 406 to 944 of the family's 3401-position model. Lineage: Eukaryota; Metazoa; Arthropoda; Insecta; Coleoptera; Curculionidae. The record is from RNAcentral.